CUUAAAUGAAAUUAGCUGCAUAAGAGAUGCAAACCCUUCAAGAUCUGUUGGAAUUGUUCCUGGCUUCACAGUCUGAUUGGCUUCUGAUAAAUGAGCAGGAAAAAGAGAGCCAGGGGUAAUCGCUUUAAGUGGACGGACGGAUCCCCUUGGAUAUUCACAAACUGGAUGCUGGGGGAGCCAAAUAAUGUUGGUUCAGAUGAAAACUGCAUAGAGAUAUUCCGCAAAGAUGAUAGCCGAUGGAAUGAUAUCAACUGUUAUGAUCAAAAGUCCUUCAUCUGUUCAUAUAGGGCAUGAUGUUAGACUAAGGAACCUGGUCCAUUGUGUUUGCUUCUGUUUUCUUCAUUUUCCUGAACACACCAAUGCUACUUUCUUCAAUGACCUUAAAUCAAGAUGAUGUAAGAGGCUGAUUCAGUGAUGUUUCUCUGGCUUGUUGUCAUCUUAGUCAUCUUGAUUUGGUACAAGUUACCCCACGUACAGGCCCCAUUCACAAAGUUAAAUUAGCAUUGUAUUUAAGUUUUGUGAUUAUUAAUUCUUUAAUGAUGCGUAUGUGGACUCAGUUAUGUCUUUCUCUAUCUAAUAAAGCUAUAUUGAUGCA
Acipenser ruthenus (sterlet) is the source of this 595-nucleotide long non-coding RNA. RefSeq lists it as uncharacterized. The transcript is spliced from 3 exons. The record is from RefSeq and is a predicted model, not a curated record. NCBI's taxonomy places the organism in Eukaryota, Metazoa, Chordata, Actinopteri, Acipenseriformes, Acipenseridae.